RNAcentral lists this non-coding RNA (46 nucleotides) under Schistosoma curassoni. The record is from RNAcentral. Lineage: Eukaryota; Metazoa; Platyhelminthes; Trematoda; Strigeidida; Schistosomatidae.
CCCCUCAUGAGGAGUCCCACAAUAGGACGAAACGGCCGUCCAGUGC